Molecule: long non-coding RNA, 631 nt
Organism: Poecile atricapillus (Black-capped chickadee)
Lineage: Eukaryota; Metazoa; Chordata; Aves; Passeriformes; Paridae
Exons: 4
Source: RefSeq, a predicted model, not a curated record
GACCAAUCAGUUGUCUAGACCUGGGAGUUCUGAAUGCGCUGUAUAAGAAGGUCCUGAACAAUAAAACAUGCUGUUUGCUGAGGACCCUCGUGACAAGCACCAUUGUCCAGAUUGCAGACAGAAUAUUGAAGAUAACGCUCUCACCAGCGCCAGUCUAGGGAUGAGCUGUCCCUUGGUGCUCUGAAGGAGAAAAUGGAGGUGCCUUCCUUUCGGAGGCAGCUUAGGACAGUGGGCCACAAAGGUAUCUGAUCCCCGUGCCGGCGGUUCCAGGCACAGUCAAUGAUCUCCUGAGGGCAACUGGGGGAACCUAAAUUAAAAGUGUAGUGCUUUCACUUGACUAUAAUCUGAGUCAGCCUCCUGCAUUUUGCACUUCAGCCAAAUGCUGAGGGUCAGAUGGUAUGGGACUGUCUUAGGUGUCUCUUUGCUCAGUGUGACUCUUUGCACUCUUAUUCCUGUGAUUUCAAAUUUUGCUCAUGUUCUCAAUGUAUUGUCUCCUCAACUGACUCAAUUUCUGAAUUUCAAGCAAAGGGCCAAGUGCCUCAACUAUGGCAUUUCAUUUCCCUUUAUUCAACUUAGUCGUGAAAUAUCAAGCUCUUGCAACGUGCAGCUGUGUUAAGAAGUAAAAAUAAAU